AGCGAACGCUGGCGGCAGGCUUAACACAUGCAAGUCGAGCGGGCACUUUCGGGUGUCAGCGGCGGACGGGUGAGUAACGCGUGGGAACGUGCCCUCUGGUUCGAAAUAACUCAGGGAAACUUGAGCUAAUACCGGAUACGCCCUUUUGGGGAAAGGCUUGCUGCCGGAGGAUCGGCCCGCGUCUGAUUAGCUAGUUGGUGAGGUAACGGCUCACCAAGGCGACGAUCAGUAGCUGGUCUGAGAGGAUGAUCAGCCACACUGGGACUGAGACACGGCCCAGACUCCUACGGGAGGCAGCAGUGGGGAAUAUUGGACAAUGGGCGCAAGCCUGAUCCAGCCAUGCCGCGUGAGUGAUGAAGGCCUUAGGGUUGUAAAGCUCUUUUAUCCGGGACGAUAAUGACGGUACCGGAGGAAUAAGCCCCGGCUAACUUCGUG
This 435-nucleotide ribosomal RNA is filed under the name uncultured bacterium. Its description in RNAcentral is "partial 16S ribosomal RNA". It matches the Rfam family "Bacterial small subunit ribosomal RNA", at positions 29 to 507 of the family's 1533-position model. The record is from RNAcentral.